RNAcentral lists this ribosomal RNA (292 nucleotides) under uncultured Verrucomicrobiota bacterium. RNAcentral describes it as "uncultured Verrucomicrobia bacterium partial 16S ribosomal RNA". The record is from RNAcentral. Lineage: Bacteria; Pseudomonadati; Verrucomicrobiota.
GGACUACUGGGGUAUCUAAUCCCGUUUGCUCCCCUGGCUUUCGUGCCUCAGCGUCAGGAAAUGUCCAGAGACUCGCCUUCGCCACUGGUGUUCCACUUGAUAUCUACGCAUUUCACUGCUACACCAAGUAUUCCAGUCUCCCCUCCAUUCCUCGAGUGAGAUAGUAUCCAACGCAGUUUCCGGGUUGAGCCCGGAGAUUUCACGUCAGACUUACCUCACCGCCUACGCACCCUUUACGCCCAGUGAAUCCGAACAACGCUUGGGACCUCUGUAUUACCGCGGCUGCUGGCAC